Molecule: ribosomal RNA, 497 nt
Filed under: uncultured bacterium
Lineage: Bacteria
Description: partial 16S ribosomal RNA
Rfam family: Bacterial small subunit ribosomal RNA
Source: RNAcentral
GAUGAACGCUGGCGGCGUGCCUAAUACAUGCAAGUCGAGCGAACAGAUGAGGAGCUUGCUCCUCUGACGUUAGCGGCGGACGGGUGAGUAACACGUGGAUAACCUACCUAUAAGACUGGGAUAACUUCGGGAAACCGGGGCUAAUACCGGAUAAUAUAUUGAACCGCAUGGUUCAAUAGUGAAAGACGGUUUUGCUGUCACUUAUAGAUGGAUCCGCGCCGCAUUAGCUAGUUGGUAAGGUAACGGCUUACCAAGGCAACGAUGCGUAGCCGACCUGAGAGGGUGAUAGGCCACACUGGAACUGAGACACGGUCCAGACUCCUACGGGAGGCAGCAGUAGGGAAUCUUCCGCAAUGGGCGAAAGCCUGACGGAGCAACGCCGCGUGAGUGAUGAAGGUCUUCGGAUCGUAAAACUCUGUUAUUAGGGAAGAACAAAUGUGUAAGUAACUAUGCACGUCUUGACGGUACCUAAUCAGAAAGCCACGGCUAACUACGUG